UGCGCGCGGGAUUCCGGGCUGGUGUUCGCGUCCAAGUGUCGCGCGAGUUGCUCUUCAGAAAGGCAGUCAGGAAACGGGUCGUUCUGAAGAGCUCCGCGUCAGGGAAGACUGAAGGAGAGCCGAGGCCCCAUGGUUGAAAGCAGUUGCUGUUGUGGGGUUGUCUUUUCACUUUCCAGAUGGUAUCAGUUGCAGUAUGAAGGUUUUUAUGGCCUGUUGAUCACCAUAUUAGGAAGAGUUUCAUGUGUUAAGGGUAUAUGGUACAUUGAAGAAAGAAUAGAAGAUGAAGAGCCUUAUGAGGAUUAGAGUUUGAAAAAUGGGCAUUGCUCUGACAGUUUGGAACUGCUUUUGAUGACAUAUAUAAGUAGGAAUAAAUGGUAUAAUAUUGCUUCUGAUUAACCCAAUUGGGGUAGAGGUGGUAAGAUUAUGUGUAUUAGAGGAGUGGAAUAAGAUGAGGUCAUCUGUGGAAAUAUGACCUUCGAUUCAGUGUACACUCUUGAAUAAGAGUGUAGCUGGCCUUGGAAUUUACUUUAGACUCAGCACUUAAAUAUAUAUGUAUAUUUAUAAAUAUUAAUUUAUAUUCAAUAUUCUAUAUAUAUAUAUAUAAUAUAUAUAUCUAUCUUAUAGUUUUCUGGCCUCUAUUUUCUUAUUGGCAAGUUUUCUGCUAGCCCAACUGCUAAUUCUCCUAAUUUUUACUCUCUGGUUGCCUUAGAUUUUUUUUUAAAUAUGCCUACAUGGGUAGCUUCCACUUACUUUGAUCCUUGUCUUGGAUUUAUUCUGCAGUUCAGCAGACAUUUUUCUACCAGAAGAUGCUUAAAUGUCAUCUGCCAAAUUGGGAUUCUCUGCAAUAUAAUUUAGUGCUAAAACCAGGGAUCCUAUUAAUUAUAAAUUCCCUAAGUUGUGAUUAAAAAUGAACAAAAAACUAAUGUAAUUCAGUGAAUUUUUAAUGGCCCUCAGGCUUGAAGUUAGUCAAAGUGUUUUUGAGAAUUGGGAAUUUAAAUAUUUUAUAUCUCAGUUCCUUUAGCUGCUUUAAGUUUUUCUUUUUUAAUUUAACAAAUAUAUCAGGCAUUAUUGUCACUCACCCAAUUAGCUGUGUUUACUUACAGGGCUGAGUGAAUCAUGAAAACACAGAUUCAUGGGAUUAAAAAUGAGUCUUAGUCAUCAUCUAGAAUAUGCACAUUGGGUGUAUUGAAAAGGGCGUUGGUCAGAAUGAGACUUGGGCUAGUUUCAAUUAUGAGACCUCUAACUUUAUAAGUAGUUCCUAAAACUAGGGCUUCAUUUUCUUCAUUAGUAAAAGGAGGGACAUUGGAUUAGAUGAACUUUAUACUUUCUUCCUUUUCUGAAAUUAUAAGAAGAAUCAUCAGAAAUAUGCAUAAUAAAUUUAAUAUAGCUUACUUCAUUGUUGGAAGUUACUGGAGAGUCGUAAUUGCUAGAAAAUUUUUCCUUACAUUCCAGUUCAUUUAGUUCCUAGAUGUGUGACUUUGGGUGAGUUACUGUCUUAUUACCCAGUCAAUAAAUACAAUAAUAAACCUCAGGGCAAUUUUCCUUUUACUAAAGUCUGCUUUAUGUGAUAUUAACGUGGCCACUCCAGGUUUUAUUUUGUUUUUUAGUGUUUGCAUCUUUUUACUCUUUAACCUUUAUAUACCAUGAUAUUUCACGUGGUUUCUCAUAGAUAGCAUGUAAUUGUCUUUUUUUUUAAUCUACUCUAUGUGUUUUAAUAGCCAUAUUAGACCAUUUAAAUUUAAUCUUUCAUUUUGUUGGAUUUAAGUGUACCAUUUAUCAUUAAUUUUCUGUUGUGCCUUCUCUUUUUCACUCCUGUUUUCCUUUCUGGCUUUCUUUUGAAUUAUUUGAAUAUUUUUCAGAAUCCUCUUGUUAUUUUGGCUUUUAAAAAUAUGUCUCCAUGCAUAUUUUUUUGAAUGGUUGCUGUAGAGGAUGUUGUAUACCAAGUUAUUUUUGUAAUCUACCUAGAAUUUCUUACCACUUCAAGAAAAAUAAAGAAACUUUACUACCAUACAGGGUCCUUUAGUACCUCCACAUUAGGAUGCAGUUCUCAUACAUAUUAGGUUUAUAUACAUUGAAAAUCCCAUCAAUGUUAUAAAUUUUUUAUUUCAGCAUUAUAUGUAUUUUAACAAACUUAAAAGGUGAAAAAGUAGUCUAUUCUGUUUACUCAGAUAUUACCAUUUCUGUUGCUCUCCCUUCUUUCCUGGCAUUCCAGAGUCCUCUCUGCUGUCAUGUCCCUUCCCUGUCAAAUUUCUUUAGCAUUUCUUUUAAGACACGUCUACUGGUAAUGGAUUCUCUAAGUUUUCCUUUUUCUGAAAUGUCUUUAUUGCACUUUCCUUCCUGAAGGACGUAUUUGCUGGUUAAAGGAUUCUGGGUUGAUCAUUUUUUUUGUUUUUUGUUUUUGAAGGCACUUUAUAAACAGUGUGUCACUGUUUCUGGCCUCCAUGAUUUCUGAUGAGAAAUCUGCCAUAAUUCACAUCUUUGUUUCCCCAUAUGUACAGUGUCAUUUUCCUCUGGCUGUUUAAAAAACCUCUUCUUUAUGUUUAGUUUCAUCAGUUUGGUUGUGAUGUGCCUGGGUAAUGGUUAUACUUCCCCUUUUUGGAGUUUGCUGUGCCAGUGGACCUGCUGUAAAUAUAUAAUUUUUGUAAAUGUAUAUAAAUUUAUGCCUUUCACCAAA
This is a non-coding RNA of Vicugna pacos (alpaca), 2674 nucleotides long. NCBI's taxonomy places the organism in Eukaryota, Metazoa, Chordata, Mammalia, Artiodactyla, Camelidae. The record is from RefSeq and is a predicted model, not a curated record.